RNAcentral lists this long non-coding RNA (1525 nucleotides) under Sus scrofa (pig). RNAcentral's name for it is "lncRNA (ENSSSCG00060012403.1)". The record is from RNAcentral. Lineage: Eukaryota; Metazoa; Chordata; Mammalia; Artiodactyla; Suidae.
UUUUUGUUUUUUUUUUUAAUAAGGGCUACAAUCGCGGCACAUGGAGGUGCCCAGGCUCCCUGCAGCUGCCUGCCUAAGCCACAGCCACAGCAAUGCAGGAUUCAAGCAGCAUCCGUGACCUACACCACAGCUCACAGCAAUGCUGGAUCUUUAACCCACUGAGCGAGGCCAGGGAUCGAACCUGCGUCCUCCUGGAUGCUAGUCAGAUUCGUUAACCACUGAGCCAUGACAGGAACUCCUGUUAUUUUUAAAGUAAGGCAUCUGUCUUAAAUGUUAUCGUCAAUUUUUAAUUAUUCUCCUUUCAUCAUCUCUUAAUAUUCCUUAUGAUUCCUUGUCAUUACAUUCAAUAAAUAGCUUCAUAUAGAAUGCAUUUUACCAUAUAAAUAUAUAGUAAAUAUCUACUACAUAUAAUAAAAUACAAAUUAUGUAGAGAAUAUAAAUCCUUGUGCCCUGUGAAUCCAUCAUGGCUGGCCCCCUAUUUUAAUUCCCUGCCCAUCUUGUUUCCCUGAGGUUUUUCCAUCGGCGGCAGUGAUGUGCCCACAGCAGGUUUCCUUUCUGUAGGUGCCCUGGGCCAUGUGGGGUCUCCUGGGUACCCCAGCAUGGAGUGACUGGGGAAAUGUUCUAACCUUUUCAACAAAACGGAUUUGACAAAGGAAGUAGGUGUUUUCCUAAAAAUCUGACAAAGCUCACCUGAAAAGCGCCCACGGCCUCGUGCCUGUUUGGGGCGAGGCAGUGGGCACAUCUCUCGCUGACUUUUUUUUAAUAUAUAUAAUGAUUUUUUAUUAUUUCCACUCUAACUGGUUUACAGGGUUCUGUCAAUUUCUACUGCACAGCACAGUGCCCGGUCACACAUGCAUAUACAUCCUUUUUCUCACAUUAUCCGCCAUCGUGUUCUCACGGCCUUUCCCUCUGCCUGAGGUUGUGAUUCCUGCUGCGGCCUCUCUCCCUUUCUUGAAACAACGCCAGUGACAUGAUUCCUGCGUGUAUUCAUUUCACCCACGGCUUCGAAUCCACCGGCACAAAAGCGACAGGUGUUGCCUUGCACACUGACGCUGUAGUGCAACGGCCUUCUCUCGCUGUUUCUUGCUUUUUUGCCUCUUUUCCUUUGGCCGCACCCACAGCAUGUGGAAGUUUCCAGGCAGAGACUGAAUCUGAGCCACAGCUCUGACCUACACCACAACUGCAGCAACCCCAGAUCCUUAACCCACUGUGCCACAGCUGGAACCCCAUGGUUGUCUCUUUCCUCCUUGAGCGGUUACCAAAGAUGUGUCUCUUCCAAAAGCCUUUGAAUCAUCGGUCACCCCUAAUGAGUAUGUGUUCUCCUUCAUUACUUUGUGUUUGCUCAAGCUUGUUCACUGAUACUCAAAUUCCUAAAUUCUACAUUGCGUGUCAAUUUCUGAUAGAUGCUGUUAUUAAAAUUUCUUUAUAUAAACUGUGGAUUUGUCCAUUGCUUCUUGUAUUGGUAACAUAUUUUGCUUUUUCAAUUUUUUUUUUUUUUUUGGUUCUUUUUACAGCUGCACCUGCA